UCUUUAGAAGAAAGAUAUUUCACCAUUUUUUAAUCUUUAGGUAAAGUUAGUGGCUACUUCUCAGAUCUACAAUCAAGUUACCCCAAAUCAAAUCCCCUAUCUCUCUCGAUUUCCAGCGAAGCUAUGCUCUGAUCACUUGCCUGCGUCUGAUUAUGAUUUACAGUGCGAAGGAGUUUUUGGAAGAUGGGGUUUAUAUACCCACUGAUGUAAAGGUGAAGCAGAUGAAGAGGGCAAGGUCGGAUUGCUUGAAGGUGCAGAAGAAGUUUAGCAAGGAUAGGGAUCCUGUGGUGAUUGCUUAUGAGGUUAGGGAUAAACCCUCGGCGUUGAAGGCGGAGGAUUGGGACUGGGUUGUGGUGGUUUUUGUCUUGUUGAGAUUUUCAAUUAGAGUAAGUGGAAACUUUCAGUUCUAAGGUUUUAAUUGCAUUGAGAAAUUGUUAUCUUGGUCAUUGAGAUUGUAGCUUUCUGAAUUUGUUUUAUGUGACUUCUGAAAGCGCAUUCUAGCUGUUAUGGAUUGUGUUGUUUGUGUAUGUUGUCUUGUGAUGCAGUUAUGGGGGUUUUCAUGAGAUUCGAAGAUGAUAGUGUGGAGUUAGAGCAAAGAUUGUGAACCCGUGGAAUGUGAAGAUCAUCUCGGUUGGUUGGUAGAAUUUAUUUGAUUUAAUGUGUUACCAGUAAAAGUUCCACUAAGUUAUGCUCGUAGGAAAAAUCAAAUUAAUUGUCUUAAUUUGCUGCUGCAAUGGAAAAAUGGUUCCCCUUCAUUUAUGCUUAUAGGAAAUUCAGAAUCAUUCAGCUUUCAAGGUCAAUGGUUUGUUAGACCCUUGGAACCAUUAUGCACACAAGUAGUUGAUUAGUUACCCCUUCCUUUGUGCUUUAAUUAUCUUGAUUUGUAUUGCGACGAUGAAAAAGGAUUGCUGUUAUUGACCUGUAAGAAUUUCACUGCAUCGAAUACGUAUAUUUACCAAAAUAAAAAGUACAUGGGAGGGGGAGAUUGCUCAUGAAUUUCUAAGAUUGGUCCUGAUUGUAUAAUGGUUUGCACAAAUUGGUUGCCUAUGUUGUGAAGCCUACGUACCAAAUAAUUUUCACACACCGUAUCAUUAUUUAAGAUUUGCAUAGAAAAAGGAGGACACACUUGUUAUUGCAAAGGGAAACUCUUUUUUGUUAAUAGCUUGUCUUAUAUGAAAGUGUUCUCUCAUGGUUUUGUCGCUUAUCCUGUGCUUCUGACUGCAAAUUCCUUGUCCGCAGUGAUAUGCCUCUCAGAGUGCUUCCCAAGUUUAUUGGGGUUCAACUUGUUAACUUUCAUAUUCAAUUGUAUUUCAAGAACACUGCACCUCCCAUUGAGGCAUUGAUGUUUGAAUUUGAUGCGGAGAAUAAGGGUGACAAUGGAGAUCUUCACGCAACCUACACUGGUAAAGGGAAAGGAAACGACUUUGAAUCAUUAAUUACCAGUAAGAGUUCCAUUGAAUUAGAUACUUUUAAUUCCCAGUCAAUAGGUGGGCAUACCUCCGUUUUAAUUUGAGCCUCUAUGCAGAGGACUAAGAGUAUAGCUGCUGUAAGGAGUGACAUAAUUACCAGCAGGGUUAAGGGGAGGAAGUUAAUUGUUGAACCAACAAGCCAAUCUGGAGUGACAUAAUUCCUGUAGGAUUAUAGAUGAUACAAGUGUUUAGGAUAAUGUAUAUCUGUUUAAAUACUAGAAGUGAAAUACAUUCUUCAUUCUCAAAGAAACCAAAUAAAUGUUUUUGGAUUUGUCAA
RNA transcript from Pyrus x bretschneideri (Chinese white pear), 1746 nucleotides. It is a transcript of the gene named protein CDC73 homolog, with no coding region annotated. The transcript is spliced from 3 exons. Lineage: Eukaryota; Viridiplantae; Streptophyta; Magnoliopsida; Rosales; Rosaceae. The record is from RefSeq and is a predicted model, not a curated record.